Long non-coding RNA from Solanum dulcamara, 951 nucleotides. RefSeq lists it as uncharacterized. The transcript is spliced from 3 exons. Lineage: Eukaryota; Viridiplantae; Streptophyta; Magnoliopsida; Solanales; Solanaceae. The record is from RefSeq and is a predicted model, not a curated record.
UGAAUAAUUUAUGUGUAGUAAAAUACAUCUCAAGAAGGACCCUUAAGCCAAAUCAAAAUAGAAGCCAUCAAAUAUGUUUUUCUUAAAGUUACGUUUCGGGUAAGCUGACUUCGGGAGGCCAUAACCUCUUUAUAAUUUGAGAAUUUGGGAAAACUCUCAACAUGAAAGUUGUAGAUAAUUGAAAUAUCUUUCCAACCAUAGGUCGUGGGACGAAAUGUGAUAUCGGAGUAAUAAGAUAUAGACGUUUUAAGUCUGACAGGCCAAACUAAAUAGUGAAUUCGGCCCAACCCAAUUUUAAUUCGGGUCAGGCCCAAUACCCACGAAAUUAAUCAAAAUUCUAUGUCUUCCUUCAUAGUUUAGACCAAGAAAUAUCUGGAAAUUUCCAGAGAGAGUAAGAUAAGGGAAAGCUAGAGAGAAACACCAACAUCCACCACAAUUAAAGCCCCGAAUCUCAAAGCUCUUGAAGAGAAAAUUGUUGUACGUCGCGUUGGCUUCAAUUUGAGCUAGAAAUCAGCCAAUAAGGAGAAGAUUUUAUGUGGUGCUGCAAAUUUAAGGUUGAGACAAUAUUGGACAACAUAUACGUAUAAACGCUAAAGGUACAAAUACUCAUUUUGGAGAGCCGCCAACUUAGGAUUCUACUCAACGAGUUUGAAGUGCUCCAUUGUCUCGGAGCCCAAACUUUGGGUACUAAUCCUUAUAAUGUAUAUAUUUGUGUAUUUAGGGGUACGACGGGGCCCUGUCCCGUCAUAUGCUAUUGUUAAUUCUCUUAGAGGUCUGUAGACAUAUGAGUGGGUUGUAUAUAGAUGUUGUCCGGUGUACUAGUAUGACUUAUGUUUUUGGACGUUUACAUUCAGAAUGGAAGCCUUGUCGGCUUACAUAUUAUGUUAUCUUAUUUUUGACAAUUAAGACUCCCCAAGAAAUAGCUGAUUUUGGUAUAUAUAUAAGUGACCG